Molecule: non-coding RNA, 100 nt
Filed under: unclassified sequences
Description: DUF3800-V RNA
Rfam family: DUF3800-V RNA
Source: Rfam by way of RNAcentral
AGAAGUAUGUAAUAAUAGCUUAGAAAAUGCUGCGGUAUUUCCCUCGAAAUAUUCGAGACUUCAAAGUCGCAGAUAAACCACUUUCUAAGACACUACUUCU